GGGGCGUUUCCUGGCGCCGCCCCGCCGCCCGCGCCGCGCCGCGCGCUCUGCUGCCGAGUGCGGGGUGCGGAGCUCGGAGUCGCCGGUGCCGGCGGCUAUGAAGGUCUGGAGCUCCGAGCACGUAUUCGGCCACCCGUGGGACACGGUGAUCAAGGCGGCCAUGCGGAAGUACCCGAACCCGAUGAACCCGUGCGUGGUGGGCGUGGACGUGCUGGAGCGCCGCGUGGAUGGCCGCGGGCGGCUGCACAGCCUGCGCCUGCUCAGCACCGAGUGGGGGCUGCCCGGCCUCGUGCGCGCGAUUUUGGGGACCAGUAGGACUUUGACAUACAUCAAAGAGCAUUCUGUUGUGGAUCCCGUGGAAAAGAAAAUGGAACUUUGUUCCAGCAAUAUCACACUCACAAAUUUGGUGUCAGUGAAUGAGAGGUUGGUGUACACACCGCAUCCGGAGAACCCUGGAAAGACGGUGCUCACACAGGAAGCCAUCAUCACCGUGAAGGGGAUCAGCCUUGGCAGCUACCUGGAAAGUCUGAUGGCCAGCACAAUAUCAUCUAAUGCCAAGAAGGGGUGGGCUGCCAUUGAGUGGAUAAUCGAACAUUCUGAAAGCGCCGUAAGCUAACAGGCCUGGACCUGCACCUCAGGAUGCACGGUGGUAACUGCGGUACUUGUUAACCUGAUACCUCACCCAAAACAUCCAAGAAGACAGGAAGGAAGAGGAAGAAGGUGAAGAGAGGCGAGCAGGACGUGGCUCAGGCCCUGACUGGAGGGACCUGCUGGCACCCCUCCGGUGCCCUGGGGACCUUGGAGCAGCACCGCAGUGCAAGACUCGAGAAGUCAGCGCCCGUCCACGCCGAGUGGCUGCCGCAGCACUUGGCCUGUUUUGGGGCCUUGGCCGCUUUCCUGGCAGGGGCCCCAGCCCUUCCUGCCAGCUCAGGACCUUGCUGCUAGAGCCCCUCUCGUGCCCCCGCUGAGCCCUGUCCCUGCGCCAGCUGCACGUGCCCUCCGUGCUUCACAGAAACACCCGGGUCCUGAAGCCGCCUCUGCCCGGGCCUCCUCUGCUCCCCUUGGCGUGGAGCUCUGCUCACCGGCCGCUUCCCACCCACGGGAGCCGAGCCCUGGGCGCCGCAGGCCUUGCUGGGGUCCUGUGGCCCGGCGGGGUUUGGGCCGACUCCCAAGGGUCUCUGGCGGGGUCUGGCUGCUGACAAGGCUGCCCGGCUCCCGGGGAGAGGGGACUCCCAGUGACCUUGCCUUCCCACGGGCUGUGCCACUGCCCUCAGGACACCUGGGGUGCGGGCCUGCUGGGCUCCGCCUGGUGGCUCUGGGCCCUGCCUGGACUGGACGGUCCCACCUCCAUCACCGGCCCAGCUCUGCUCGCGCUUUGCCGGUGGCCUCGGGGUGCCGACACCUCCAAGUCUCUGCAGCUUGUUCUCCCGACUUUCUCCUCAUCGUUUCCUGACGUUGCAGGGAUCAGGGCAGAAGGCUUCCCACUGUCCUGAAAUCCAAGUUGUUUAAGACAACACUCAUUUAAAAAGCUCCAGAGCGAUCACGCUGAAUGGGUCAGAAGAAAAGCACAGGCCUGUGCUGAGCAGAGGCCCGACUCUCCCUCUGCAGGCGACCCCACCCCUGCUCUCAGCCCCUUCCCGAAAUCCAUGUGCCUGUGAAGCACCGGUGUGGGCUUUGAUCGUCCCCUUCUGUCAUUAAACUUGGACAGGCUCGUGCUGCACGCGCUGCUUGUGACUGUCUUUGUUUCUGCUUCUUGAACGUCCCCUGGAGGAUGCACCGCAGGGGCCACCUUCACUGGCUCUGCUGGGCCCAGUCGGCUGUUGGGCUGCCCCUGCAGGUGGCACCGUCUCCUGGACACUGUGCCCUGCUCUCUCCAGUGCAGCCCUCGCUCCCGGUUUCAGGAUGGCUCUGUCACUUCACAGGCUCAUUGUCUAAGUGUGUGACAUCGGGAGUCGUGUUCUGGAGGGACGCGUGUGAGGCUGCGAUGUGUAAACCACGUGCUGAGAGCGGGAUGGUGUCAGGGCAGCUUCUCUGAUCUGUGCGGGGGGAGGCCGCAGAGGUCCCGGGUGUUUUUGGAGGAAGGUCACAUUUUUAGUGUAAGGAAGGUUGUGUGGGUCAGCUGGUUAUGUCCCACCGUUGGGGGCUGGAGGUGGGUUAGAAACAAGCACCUGCAUGCGCUUGGCUUCUUGGUCUCCCAUGCCUUCAGUUAUUUAUUUAUUUAUUUAUUUAUUUUUGAAAAAGUUCAGUUGGUUUGUUAUAGUAUCAGGAAGAUUUAAAACUAUUGUGCUUCAUUCUGCUCACAGAUGGCCAACAUUAAGGGACAUAUUUUUCUCCCAAAGAGAGAAGUUGUCAGAAUCUUCGAUAUGUUUAAAUUACACAGGCAGAGUUACACACCUGCUGUUUCAUUCUGUACUCUGCCCCUUCCUGCAGUUGUACAGCUUACUGCAAAAGGGAAUUUUAGUUUGGAUAAUGGUUUAAAAGUCUUCCCUUGCUCUCACAGUGGCGCAUGCCUGUAAUCCCAGCGACUCAGGAAGCUGAGGCAUUGGUUCAAAGUCAACCUCAGCAAAAGUGAGGGUCUAAGCAACUCAGGAGACCCUGUCUCUAAAUAAAAU
This is an RNA transcript of Sciurus carolinensis (gray squirrel), 2612 nucleotides long. It is a transcript of the gene named PRELI domain containing 3A, with no coding region annotated. The transcript is spliced from 7 exons. Lineage: Eukaryota; Metazoa; Chordata; Mammalia; Rodentia; Sciuridae. The record is from RefSeq and is a predicted model, not a curated record.